Molecule: ribosomal RNA, 457 nt
Filed under: Actinobacteridae bacterium 11-03PB
Lineage: Bacteria; Bacillati; Actinomycetota; Actinomycetes
Description: bacterial SSU rRNA
Rfam family: Bacterial small subunit ribosomal RNA
Source: RNAcentral
AUCUGCCCUUCACUCUGGGACAAGCCCUGGAAACGGGGUCUAAUACCGGAUAACACUUACCUCCUCCUGGGGGUUGGUUAAAAGCUCCGGCGGUGAAGGAUGAGCCCGCGGCCUAUCAGCUUGUUGGUGGGGUAAUGGCCUACCAAGGCGACGACGGGUAGCCGGCCUGAGAGGGCGACCGGCCACACUGGGACUGAGACACGGCCCAGACUCCUACGGGAGGCAGCAGUGGGGAAUAUUGCACAAUGGGCGAAAGCCUGAUGCAGCGACGCCGCGUGAGGGAUGACGGCCUUCGGGUUGUAAACCUCUUUCAGCAGGGAAGAAGCGCAAGUGACGGUACCUGCAGAAGAAGCACCGGCUAACUACGUGCCAGCAGCCGCGGUAAUACGUAGGGUGCGAGCGUUGUCCGGAAUUAUUGGGCGUAAAGAGCUCGUAGGCGGUCUGUCACGUCGGAUGU